RNAcentral lists this long non-coding RNA (1778 nucleotides) under Sus scrofa (pig). Its description in RNAcentral is "lncRNA (ENSSSCG00040042522.1)". Lineage: Eukaryota; Metazoa; Chordata; Mammalia; Artiodactyla; Suidae. The record is from RNAcentral.
CACACUACCUUCAUGUCUAGGCACCAAGGAAAACAAGGCUCUUCAUGGCGUUUAGUUUAUGUGCCGAAAGAUGUGUCCCAGCAGAAACGGAGGAAGAGUCCCUUGAGAUAAACCCUGUAACGCACGUAAAGGAAGAUGCCUGCCACCGAACCGUCCAAGCACACAAACGCCCGUCCUCACCUCCAUCGCCCUCCGUGUAUCCGCAUCCAAUCGAGGCGAAACUUGGCUUCAAAACCUGGCAAACUCCCUUCUCAAAAAGAUGCUCUCCUGUCUCAAACUCCAUAUAUGGAAGGUCUUCGGAAAGAUGAUCUUCAUUGGACAGAUGAGAAAACCAAGGCCCGAAGAGGGAAGAUUCUUGCUCAGGGUCAUGCAGCAAGUUCAAGGACGUAUUACUCAGAAGGUUGGAACCAUUUUUUGACCUGCCAUUCAGAGAUCUGCUCCUCCUGUUCACUCAGGAACUGGCUGGGAGAGGCUCCAUUUCAACAUGGCUUACACAUCACAGGAGAAAUUCUUUCUAGCUUUUCUGCUAGAGACAACACAGGUCACUUCCUCUACACUUGUCAUGUGGCCUCACCUAACUUGGAGGCAGAUUGAAGGGGAGAUGCCGGAUGCCUACCAGGGAGAAGCAGGGAAGACUUCUCUGGUUUUAGCAGGGAUCUGAAUUGUGCAUGAGAGUUGACCAGGGAGGGAGUUUCCAUUGUGGCUCAGAGGGUUACUAACCCGACUAGUAUCCAUAAGGAUGUAGGUUUGAUCCCUAGCCUCAUUCAGUGGUUAAGGAUCCAGUGUUGCCAUGAGCUGUGGUAUAUGUUGCAGAUGCGGCUCAGAUCCAAUAUUGCUCCAGCUGUGGUGUAGAAUGGCAGCUGCAGCUCCAAUUUGACCCCUAGACUGGGAACUUCCAGACCCUAAAAAGCAAAAAAAAAAAGGAGUUGUCCAUAGAAAGGGUGACAUGGCAGGGUCUCAGGGAGCAGCUAGGGACUGGCAGCAGUAUGUGUACAGGCUCUGAGUUAGGAAGCAUCACAGCCUAUUUGAGCAGCAGAAGGAAGGCCAGAGUAGCUAGAACCCAGCCAGCAAGGGGAAAGUGGCUUCCAUUCCAAUGGGACUUGGGGAAUUAGAUGCCAGUGGACAACAGUUAGUCAUACCCCUGGGGAGGAGAGUGGCAGCAGAGUUUAUUUUGGUUUCAAUAUGAGAAACCAGUGGGUGGGGAAAGGGGCACAGAGAGUAGACAUCUGUGCCUCUCAACACACCUGCAAGGUGGGCAGAAUGCCCAUUCUAUUGGAAGGAACCUGGACCAGCGAGAUGAGUUGCUUGGCUGGAUGGUUGCAGUUGGUAAGCCUCUCUAGAAUCAGGAUUCAAAGCCUUUCCUUCAGACUCAGACAAUCCCUGGUCCCCACUGGCCACAGGGGUCUCCCCUAAUGUUGGAGGAAUCUUCCAUAUCUUGCAUCGUCGCUCAGCCCCCCGUGGGGCGGUGCUUAGGUUGGCGAAGCUCACUUAUGUUUUAUUGAAGGCCGUGUCUGGGACCAAGCAAGCUCUUUCAUUCACGUUCCCAAUUGCCACGGAGCAUCUGUCUCUGUGUCACGCCUCUGAGAAAACUUUCACAAGAUGAUAUUGAAUCAACAAGGAGGAAAUGUUGGGGGCAUCAAAGAGAAGUUUUAGAAAUGGCUGCUGGAAAAAGCAGGGGUGCCUUUUCCAUGCUGAGCUCCCCAUCUCCCAAUUAGCAUACAAAAACAUUUUUAAAGGAAUAACCUUUGCUAAUAAAACGCUAUAACCUCAAUAAGACA